Molecule: long non-coding RNA, 510 nt
Organism: Chinchilla lanigera (long-tailed chinchilla)
Lineage: Eukaryota; Metazoa; Chordata; Mammalia; Rodentia; Chinchillidae
Exons: 3
Source: RefSeq, a predicted model, not a curated record
CAGCUAACAUAUGAGGGCCACCCCGUGCCAGGCAUUAUUCUAAGCAAUUCGCAUAUGUUAGCUCAUUUAAUCCUCAGCACAAUCAGCUGGGGUGGGAAGUUGCUGACCUUGAUGAUUACUGAACUGUGGUCAGUGGGUGCCGCUGAUUUGGCAUGGCUGGAUUUUUGCUGCCACCAUGAGGAGGAGGAAUCACAGUCCCGCUGAUGAAUGAGAAACGCCGGGAUGGAGGAAGGGGAGGAGCAUUGUUAUUGCCAGUAUCAGGAAUAAAAAUGCUAUUGAUGAAGGCAGCAAGGGGAGACAAGACCAAGAUGAAACCAUCGUCCUAACUUGUGCGGGCUCUCUCCCUCUCCUUCUGGCUACGCGGGUGCAAGCAGGAGCGAGGUGCAGAAGCAGCGACAGGGUGGCAGGUCGGGAGGAAGCCCGGGGCUUCUCCUGCUCACCUCUCACUCCACUUUUCGCCUCAGCAGGAGAGCUGCGGGAUAUCUGGGUCCACACAAUAAUAAUAAAGCA